RNAcentral lists this ribosomal RNA (447 nucleotides) under uncultured bacterium. RNAcentral describes it as "SSU rRNA". It matches the Rfam family "Bacterial small subunit ribosomal RNA", at positions 26 to 518 of the family's 1533-position model. The record is from RNAcentral.
AGAGCGAACGCUGGCGGCAGGCCUAACACAUGCAAGUCGAGCGCCCGUAGCAAUACGGGAGCGGCAGACGGGAUAGUAACACGUGGGAACGCGCCCUUCGGUUCGGAAUAACUCAGGGAAACUUGAGCUAAUACCGGAUACGCCCUUACGGGGAAAGAUUUAUUGCCGAAGGAACGGCCCGCGUCCGAUUAGCUAGUUGGUGAGGUAAUGGCUCACCAAGGCUCCGAUCGGUAGCUGGUCUGAGAGGAUGACCAGCAUCACUGGGACUGAGACACGGCCCAGACUCCUACGGGAGGCAGCAGUGGGGAAUAUUGGACAAUGGGCGCAAGCCUGAUCCAGCCAUGCCGCGUGGAUGAUGAAGGCCUUAGGGUUGUAAAGUCCUUUUAACGGGGAAGAUAAUGACGGUACCGUAGAAUAAGCCCCGGCUAACUUCGCGCCAGCAGCCGC